This 1405-nucleotide ribosomal RNA is filed under the name metagenome. RNAcentral's name for it is "bacterial SSU rRNA". It matches the Rfam family "Bacterial small subunit ribosomal RNA". The record is from RNAcentral.
AAUCUUGCUGAUUGAAGUGAAGGAGCUUGCUCUGGAUCUGAUUGAAGCGCUGAUUAGUGGCGAACGGGCGAGUAACGCGUAUUCAAUCUACCUCCGAGUUGAGGAAAACUAUAGAGAUAUAGCUAAUCCUCAAUGGUCUCAUCAAAAUGAAAAUAUGAUGAGUAAAGGCUUGCCGCUUGGAGAAGAGGAUGCGUCCUAUCAGGUAGUUGGCGGGAUAAUAGCCCACCAAGCCUAUGACGGGUAACCGGUCUGAGAGGACGGACGGUCGCAAUGGGACUGAGACACGGCCCAUACCCCUACGGGGGGCAGCAGUGGGGAAUCUUGGACAAUGGACGAAAGUCUGAUCCAGCAAUUCUGCGUGCGGGAUGAAGGUCUAUGGAUCGUAAACCGCUUUUCUGAAGGAAGACGAAUGACGGUACUUCAGGAAUAAGCGACGGCUAACUUCGUGCCAGCAGCCGCGGUAAUACGAAGGUCGCAAGCGUUAUCCGGAAUUACUGGUCGUAAAGAGUGCGUAGCUGGUUUAAUAAGUCUGAUUUCAAAGAUCCUGUCUCAAACAGGGAAAGGGGUCAGAUACUGUUAUUCUGGAGAUAACUGGGGGUUAGUGGAAUUACCGGUGGAGGGGUGAAAUCCGUUGAUAUCGGUAGGAACGCCAAAAGCGAAAGCAACUAACUAUGGUUUUCUGACAGUCAAGCACGAAAGCUCGGGGAUCAAACGGGAUUAGAUACCCCGGUAGUCCGAGCUGUAAAUUAUGUCUGCUAAGUGUUUUGGGUUUAUACCCCAAGUGCUGUUACCUAACGGGUUAAGCAGAUCGCCUGGGUAGUAUACUCGCAAGAGUGAAACUCAAAGGGAUAGGCGGGGGAACACACAAGAGGUGGAUUGUCUCGAGUAAUUGGAUAAUAAGCCAGAAAUCUUACCUUCACUUGACAUGCUAUGUGUCAUACGGGUGAUCCGUAUUACCCUUCGGGGGCGUAGCACAGUUGGUGCAUGGUUGUCGUCAGUUCGUGCCUCAAGGUGUCGGGUUAAUUCUCGAAACGAACGCAACCCUCAUCCUAUGUUACUAUGUCAUAGGAGACUGCCCGGGUAACCGGGAGGAAGGUGUGGAUGACGUCAAAUCCUCAUGCUACUUACGUGAAGGGCUUCAGAGGCAAUACAAUGGGAUGGUACAAUCAGAAGCAAUGGGGUGACCCGGAGCAAAUCUAUAAAACAUUCCUUAGUUCGGAUUGUAGUCUGGAACUCGACUACAUGAAGUCGGAAUCUCUAGUAAUGGCAAAUCAGCAAGUUGCCGUGAAUAUGUCCCUGUUCCUUGCACUCACUGCCCGUCAAACUAUGAAAGCUGAGGCGCUUUGAAGGAUCGCAAUGCGGUACGAGAAGUGAAUCAGUGAUUGGAGUUAAGUCGGAACAAGGC